CAGCCCGCGUGCAUCCCCGGCCGCGAGUCCCUGGACACCCACCCCCGCGAUUCCGGACCCCUCCCCCAAGGCAGAGUACCCCUCCCAGAGUCGCCCUGUCCUCUGCCCCUCAGAACCGCCUCCCUCAGGCAAGAAGGCUUGGGUUCCCCUCCCCAGCGGUGUCACGACUGUCCCUGGUGGUGGGCUGGGAGGGCGGAUGAGGAAGCAAACCCGCCCUCCAUCCUGCAGCAAACGUGAGAUGCUCAGCUCUGAGGAGGACCUUGGCUCGGGUCUUGGGUUUCUGUCCCUGGUCUCCAGUCCCCUUGCUUUGGGCGAUCCUGGUGGGCAUAUCCUGGCGAGAGCGCGUAGAGCGCAGAGUGCCUCCCCUUCCGGCUCCCUAGGCAGAGACCGGAAGGGGCUGGGGCCCUGCAGAUCCCCCCAGGGUAACCCCAGACCUAAAGACCUCCCACGGAGUUCCCCGUAAGCGGUCCACUCACUGCCUCUCAGUAGCCUCAAGCUGGGGACCAAGCCUUGGACCCAGGGGACACUUUGGAGGACCCUGCACCGUGACAGUGUGGAGGCAUAAUCUCGUGGACAGCGUCAUCUUGCUGCUGUGCUGCCAGAGAAGAGAUACAGAAGACUUUGGGAGACGCACUUGGGAGAACCCUCGAAGUGGAACUUGGCUCUGGCCUGUGACGGGGCUGGCUUAUUCCCUGGGAGCUUCAUGAGAGUAAUCAGGUGGGGACCCUCAUGAGUCUCCUAUGUCCCCUGUCAAGGACAUUGCUGCUGAAAUCCCUGCUGCUGCGACUCUGAAGUGGUACAACCGCCCAGGGGACGAUAUGACCCUCAACACAUGUUCCCUGGGCUCGGCUAUUUGAAAGGUGGAGUUUUACCUAGGAGGAUACUGCAAGUUUAGUAGGCUGGGGAUACCACUAUGGAUUAAAUGUCCAAUAGACUAGCAUGCGUCACACUCACUAGUGUGAAGCAUAAAGAUUUUUUUGCAACUAGUA
Molecule: non-coding RNA, 989 nt
Organism: Heterocephalus glaber (naked mole-rat)
Lineage: Eukaryota; Metazoa; Chordata; Mammalia; Rodentia; Bathyergidae
Source: RefSeq, a predicted model, not a curated record